Molecule: long non-coding RNA, 1602 nt
Organism: Brassica napus (rape)
Lineage: Eukaryota; Viridiplantae; Streptophyta; Magnoliopsida; Brassicales; Brassicaceae
Exons: 2
Source: RefSeq, a predicted model, not a curated record
GAUGGUCGAGUGUUGUCUCAUGAGGAUGAGAUGGAGUAGACACCUUCAAAGAGAAAACAAUUCGAUCAAACAAAGAUGACAUAUUGCUUAUGUUCAAUACCAAAAUAAAACAUUGAUCCACGAUGAUACAUAAAAAAAUAUAUUACCUAUGGAACCUUUUAUUAAAAUUACUUUUCAAAGUUAUAUGAGUGCAAACGCAUUACAAAAGUUAAAUUUUUUUAAAAAAAUUCAAAUUUAAGAAAAUCCGGUUUAAUUUGGUAAGCCUGAACCAAUAUUCUAUUGACAAAGUUAAAUUCCAAUUGACUUUCAUAAAACAUUGCAAACUUGCAAUAAUCUUACAAUACUAAAAGGGGAAUAUGAAGCCCUCUGAGCUAUGCCACAUCAACAAAUUAAAUCAACCAAUGAAAGAGUUUCAAUUUGACAGGUCACUUAAGCUUUCUCGACCAAAUCUUAAACGGGGCAUUCCUGUGGGCUUUAUAUUUUGUUUUUUGUUCCUUUGGUACGGGCCUGUAUGGCUCUUUAAAAUAAAAUCGAUAACGUAAUAUAUUGUGCUCUUCGACUUCCCUUCCUCAACACUUUAUAAAUCGAUUAAAAAAAACUGCAGAAGAGUCACCACAAAAUAUGAACAGCUCUUCCUUAUGCUGUUUUUUUCAUUGAGCGAUUCUUUGAUACACACGAUGACACGAACCUAAAAGUCUCUUUCUUUUUUUCAGGGGCAUCCGUGAUGAAUGAAGCUACAAGCGGUAUUCAUCCUUACCCUUUGCCUCCGUAAGUCCAGUCCGUCUACGUCUCUUUCAUCAUCACUAGAGAUUUCUUCGGCGAACUGGUAAGAGAUCCAAACCUUUGUUAAUUGUUUUACAUAUUCUUAUAGUUUUUAUAUCUCCAGAUUCGUUUUGUGAUUAGAACAGAACUAUUCUUUAUCUACAAUAGAGAGCUAGAGACAAUAAUUGAUUGUUUUAGGGUUUGGGAGUUUCCACUUCCAUGAAUCAGUGAAGACCGGGCUGAUAGAUAAAGUAAGCAGAGGAUUCCGCUUUUUAUUAUUUUUCAGAGAAAAUUCUCAGAAUUUCACCAGUCAAAUUCAUAGCAAGGAGAUCCUACCAGCCAAAUUCAAACGUAGACCUUCGAGUUAUUCAUGCUUUUUAUUGUUCUAGAGUUAUUCGUGUUGCAAAACCGUGAAGAUCCUGUCAUAAAAAAAAUAAACGUGAAGAUCUUCAUAUCUGUAGUGAGGCACUCACAACGCACAGUCAAUGACAGAGAGGCGAAGAAAAACAUUGUAUUUUUUUUAAUCAUUUGUUGCUUUCUUACUUUUAGUUUCAAACUUUUGUGCUUAUCUUUUUUCUGCUAGGCAAGAUAUUUUUUCCAGCAGAUUAUAUCAAGAGUCAGAUUGCCAUGAUGUAGAGAAAUGACUUUGAAGUUCUUCUUAACUCUCGCAGACAUAUUGAAGUGUAGUUUAUCACUCCUGUAGGCACACUAUUUUUUCCUUAUUCUCAUAGCAAAUACGCCAGAGUUAGAGGAGAUUGGAAAUAUACCACUUUGUUUAUGAUCAAGUCAGAUUGUACGGGAUCCUCAUUCUCUGUGUAACAUGAACUCUAAAUUAAUUAA